GGCAAUGAAGUGAACAAGUAUGGGAAUAAUGCAGAAGGCCAUGAUGAAGAAUCAAAAUUCAAAGGAUUGUUUACUAAACCAAUUCCAUUUGUUAAACCUAUUCUAAAGCCAGUUCCUGUUAUUAAACCUAUUCCAAAGCCAGUUCCUGUUAUUAAACCUAUUCUAAAGCCAAUUCCUGUUAUUAAACCUAUUCUAAAACCAAUUCCUGUUAUCAAACCUAUUCUAAAACCAAUUCCUGUUAUCAAACCUAUUCUAAAACCAAUUCCUGUUAUCAAACCUAUUCCAAAGCCAGUUCCUGUUAUUAAACCUAUUCCUAUUCCAGUUUUUAAUAAGCCUGUACCAAAAUCAAUUUCCAUUAAGCCCACACCAAAACCAAUUCCAGACAUAAAGCCAAUUCCCAGUGAAGAAGUAAAAUUCAAAGGUCUUUUCCCAAAACCUAUUCCCAAAAUUAAGGCAAUACCAAAGGUAAUUCCAGUUGUUAAGCCUAUUUAUAUUCCAGUUGUUAAGCCUCUACCAAAGAUAGUUCCCAUUGUUAAGCCAAUUCCUAUUCUUAAACCUAAGCUAGUUCCCAUUGUUAAGCCAAUUCCAAUUCUUAAACCUAUUCCAAAACCAUUUACUGUGAAAAAGCCAGUCCCUACAGUUGAAUCUGAAGAACUUUUGAAACCAAAGCCCUUGUUCAAAAAGUAUAUUCCUAAAAUACCAUUUCAUCACCAAUUCAAGAAACCAUUUGUAGCACCAUUGCCAAUUCACAAGCCAAUCCCAACUCCUUAAAAUGAUGAGACUCUACAUCUUCAAAAGUAUAAGGAUAUCCCUUCCAUUUGUAAUGCCUUUAUGUAAGAGGCACCAUAUUUAAUUCAACCUCAAUCAUAGUUUGGAUAAUCCUUUGGUACCCCUCUUGUGUACUGAAUUCCAAAUAUCCAAAUAUAUAUGUACUACAUGUUUUUCCUUAAUGAAGUUAUGUUAAAAUAAGAAAUGUUAAUGUAAUUCUUUAUUUUUGUUUUUAAUUACUAUUUCUAUUUGACAUAUUGAAGAGGUGACAUUUAAUUGUAAUUUUGUCGGAAUAGACAUUACUAUUCUUACACUUGACAAAUCCUACCAAUUUGUGAAGUCAUAUGUUAAGGGUGAUUGUAAGCCUCUAGGACUGGGUCCAAGACUGAGGAGUUAUGUGGUGUCAUAGGUAGAGUCCGACUCAUUUAAGAAAAAAUUUUAUAGGAUAGAAAUCAAUCUCAAAACAAGAUUUGAUCAAAGAUUAAUCAUUUAAUAGAUAAAUUUUGUUAAUAUCUUUUUUACAUUCAAGAUAGUUUUAAUGUAAGGUUAAAUUGUUAUAAAGGUAAAAUUGACAAUGAAUAGUGAGUAAGGACUAAAGGCAUGACCAAAUAUAGAAGGAAUAAAAGGAGAUACACAAAAUCGGAAAAAGAGCAAGAAAGAUUUGGGAGUAACUAAAGAUACGUUCAUAACUAAACUAAAUGUUUUAGUUCGAGAUUCUAAUUUUUCUUGGGUAGAACAAUCUUUUCAUUAGAAUAGUUUUUUUAAGUUUUAAAGGUGUGUCAUUAAACAACUAUAGAAUUAAUAAUAGUCAGAUAAUACAUAUUCUACAAAUAGACUUAUUUAGUUACCAUUAGGGAAACUGAACUUAAUCAAAAUAAUAUGUUUCAUCUAAGGUCAAGAUUGUACAUAUGUGAGGGUGAUUUUCUCUGUAUAAGCUUUGCUCGAUUAAAAAUUGACAUAUUUCUAUGUUUCCAUAUGCAUCAACUAACAUAUACCCACUAGGAAUGGCAAAGCGGGGCGGGUUGUGCGGGCUAGCAUCAACUCACAUAUACCCACUAACCCGCAUUAGUCUGCCCCGCAUUAGCCCGCAGCCCGCGCGGGCUAGCAGCGGGGCGGGGCGGGUUGGCCCGCUAACCCGCAAGAAAAAAAAAUGGAUGAAAGUUUUUCUAAGGCGGCAUCCAAUGUUAUUGAAAUUGAAGAAUGUCAAUAAUGUUUAUCUUUAAUGUUUUUGAAUUAAUGUUUAUGUUUAUUUUUAAUGUUUUGGAAUUAGGUAUUUUUAAUGUUUUGGAAGUGGAAGAAUAGUGCUAUUUGAUAAUGUUUUGAUGUUUGACUAUGUUUGAAAAUGAAGAAAAAAAAAUUUAGGUUUGAUAAUAACAAAUAUAUAGGUUUAAUUUGACAAUUUUUUAAUAACAAAAUGUAAAAAAAAAAAAGAACGCGGACUGGCCCGCAAACCCGCGAGCCAGCUCUUAUGCGGAGCGGGUCAAAAAUUCUAGCCCGCAUUACGGGCCAAGCGCGGGACGGGCUGGCCCGCUUUGCCACCCCUAAUACCCACCAACUUUUCUAUGUACUGUUACCCUCUUUAUCAAGACAAAGACAGCAAAAUUGGUUUCACAUUUUUUUUUUUCACAAAGAUAUUUACUUAAGAGGUUAAUUUUUUAUAUGAAUUUAAUGCAUUUAAAUAUUAGAUAAAGUGUUGACAGGAUUCAACCUCAGAUCUGCACCACCUCUGAAAUGUGCUGUAAUCACUGGUAUACCUGAAAAAACUGCAAAAAGAGAAAUGAUACAUUCAUUAUCAGAAUUCUAUCUAAUUCUUCGUGUGGUUGAUUUAAUUAUAAAUAUAUAUAAUAAAAGUUAAAUUUAAAAUUAAAUGAUAUAAAAAAUAUUAAAAUAAUAGUAUUGGAAGUUGUAAUGUCAAGUCAGAAAAAUAUGAGUCGUUAAUGUAUCAUUACCAUCUGUAUCAGAUGAUGAAGAUUCAUAGCAUAGACCCAGAAACCCUUGCGGGUCCUUAGCAGGAUUCAACUUCACUUGUUCUGCAACUGUUGAUUCCAACUUUUGGUAAACAUUAUCUGGCAAAAGGGUGAGUGUUGUCCCUGAGUCAAUUAUGAUGUUUCCCUCUGCACCAGUCUCAGAGGAAGAAGAAGAAGAAGAAGCAGCUCCAAAAGGUACUACACUGUCUCCAACAUUCAGUGAAUCCAAGGUUAGGAAGUAGAAUAUCUGAUUCUGUUGUUGGAUUAUAGGGGUUGAAACAGUUCCACUCCCAGAAACCACAGCAGCAUCUCCAAAACUGAGUUUGCUAGGUGAAGUUCCUGACAAACAAUAUUUUUUUUAUCAGAAUAAAUAAAAUAGAAUAAAACACUUGUUUCCCCCUUUAUACAGAUAUUUCAGGAAUGUCUCGUUGAUUAUACUCAAAGUGACAAAAAUAAACCUGCACAAUACUUGAAUAGACUCUACCUACCUGACAAACAAUAUGAAAACUUUCCUUCAAUUGUUGAGCUCAACUGAGAUAUGAGAGAGGUUGAUCCAGCAGAAAGACCAACAAUGCCAGAACCAUUGGCUUGAAAAGUCCCACUGUUGUCAUUUCCACACCCUAUAACCAUAUUAGGGAAACUCACAGAAGAACCUUCAGUGGAAGGAAGGGUUAGGGUCUCCACACUGAGAUCUCCUGAGGAAUGUGAUCCAUCACCAUAUUGAAUAGUGUAUGUGCAUUUGUUUCCAUCUUCUGAGCAAGAAGCAGUGGACAAAGAUGUGCAUGCCCUAGAAGAGCAAGGUAGGGUUUUGUAGGUGUUGGAUUGUGAAGAAUCAAAAAUAGGGUGUGUUUCUUUGUAACAGUUUAUGCAAGGUUGGCAUUGAAACCAAACAAUGUUGCUACCAGUGUCAACUAUGCUAAAAAUUUUGAAUGGUGGGGUUCCAACUGAAUAGGUCAUUAGGUAUUCACCUGAAUUUGGUAUAACUGGUGAUUCAACUGUGUCUAGGGCAAGAAAAGGUUUUGUGAGAUGAUUGGCACGUGCAAUGGAACGUUGAAUUGCUUUGGCAACUCUUUGAGAAUGAGUUUCUGAGGGAAUAUAGAAUGGUGAUUUUUCUGAAUCACGGUGAAUCAUUUCAACACUGAAGCCCUUAAGAGCUUUUGAGAGAGAAAUGUUGCAGAGAAACAGCAGAACAAGAACAAGAGAUGAAUAAUUUGGCACCAUUGUUGCCAUUGUUAACAUGCAGAGAGAAAGUGAAGAAAAAAGAUGAAUGAAGUGAAGAACAGUGUUAGUGGCCUUUUAUAAGAUCAACAGUGACUGUGAAAUUAUAAUAGGAGGGAAAGAAUUUUCCUUAAUGUUGUGAUUUUUUUUCAUUAUUUCUUCAUUUAAUUAUGAUUAUUCUCAAUAAAUUUUGUUUUCAGGCUUGUAUUAUUAAUUUUUUUAUACCUAUUUAAUUAUUCCAUACAUGUGGUGAAAUUAUUUUUUGGUUAUAUAUGUAAAGAAAUUUGUUCUUAAUCUUUUAAAUAAGGUUUCCAAAGUAGUGAUUUGGAUUUCAAACUCUCCAUUUCUGUAAAAUAUUUCUUCAAGAUUCACCUUUAAUAAAAAAAAUUAAUAAAAUACAUUUAUUUUUGUAAAUAGUUGUUUUGAGAUCUGAUAGUUUAUAGUAUUAACAUGUUAAUUUUUUAUCAAAAGGAAUUAACGAUAAUAUCUUAAUUAAAAAUUUCCUAAUUAAUAUAUUAAUAGAAUAAUUAAAUAUUAAUUAAAAAUACAUGUUAAUGUAUAAAUUAUUUUUAUUUUAAAGAUUCUAUGCAUUUAAUGCAUUUCCAGAUUUAGUUCUUUUUAACUGAGAAUAUUUGUUUAGGAAAUUUAAGAUAUUUCUUGAUAUUAAAAAAAUAUUUUAAAAAGUAAUUUUUUUCUAUAAUUAUAAAAUGAAACCGAUCUAAUGAUUCAAUCUUUCCUGUUGAAUUAUGAUUCAACUGCUUAUAAUAAAUAAUAAAAUAUAAAAUAUUAUUUAAAUAAAAAUAAUAAUAUCAUAAUUUUAUAAUUUUAUAAUACUAAAUUUUAAAAUAAAAACAUGGUUAUAUUUUAUUACUAAUAUUCAAAAGAAAAAUAUCAAUAUAAAUGAAAUAUGUCGUAAUAAUGAUGUUAAAUUGAUAAAUAUAACGUUGUUCAAUUAUAAAAACAAGUUUACUACAAAAUAAGAAAUAAAAAAUGAAAAAUUAAUGUAACAUCAAAUUAUGCAAAAAUUACACUACAACAAAAUCAUGAAAUAAAAAUCAAGUUUUAGAGAUCAAAAUAAUUAAUUUCUAAAUUUAGUCUCGAUUGCUAAUUAAAAAUAAUAAUAGAAACUAAUUUAAAAACCAAAAUUAUUUUUAGUUUCUAAAAUAUACUUAGUUACUAUUAUAACUUAUUAUUUUGGUAUCUAAAAAUCGAUUUUUACUUUUAUAUAAAAAAUAGAUAUGUGUCAAUAUAUACUUAAUACUUAACCAACUGUUUAACAUGUAAAAUCAAACUCUAACGCACCAUAACCAAAUAUAUUUUUAUAUUAUAGUAUGAUUAGUUUUAUUUUUUUGUUUUCAUUAUUAUUUUAUUAUAAUUAUAAUAAGAAGAAGAAUAAUAGUAAGAAUAAAAUAAAAAUAAUAAGAAUAUUAAAUUAAUAAUAAGAAGAAUAAAAUGAAAUGACAAUAAGAAUAAGAAUAAAAUGAAAUAAUAAUAAGAGUAAAAUAAAACAAUAAUAAGAAUAACAUAAGUAAUAAUAGUUAUAAUAAAAUAAAGCAAUAAGAAAUAAGAAUAAAAUAAAGUAAUAAUAAUUAUAAUAAAAAAAAUAAAAAUAAAGUAAUAAUAAUUAUAAUAAAAUAAAAUAAUAAGAAUAAGAAUAAUACUAAUUUUGAUAUGACAUAAAAGUGUAUUUGAUUUAAUGAUUUAGUGGUAUUUUUAUUCUGAUAUAGUAAAACAGAAAUAAAAAUUAAUUAAGAAACAUUUCUUCAAAUAAUAAAUUUUAAUAAACACUUAAUUAAAUCAAAAAUAAAAAUUAAGAUUGAAAAAUGAUACUUUUAUUGAUGACCAAAGACGAAUUUAGAAAUUGAAGAUCAUAAAAUUAUUUUAGUCCUUUAAAAUAAAAAGUGAUUUUUUUAAGUCUCUAAAAUUUAAAAAAAAAAAUCAAUCUUUCAAAGUAAUUUAUUCUGAAUGACUUUGUUAGAAAAUUUGUUAACACAUGACUAAUAUUAUUGUGUUUAAUUUUAAAAAUAUACAAUUUUUAGUUUAGUGACUUUCCCAUUUUUUUUUUCUUUGUUUUAUUUUUAUUAAGAAGUGAUAAAUUUAUAAAAACAACUUAUAAGGUGAGGUUUGCAUACACCGGAUUAUAUAUUAUGGGUAAUCCGAUAAUGACCCGAUAACAAACGGUCUGAUAAGCCUAAUAAACUAUCGCUGGAAUAUAUAGACUCAAAAUGACUCUGAUACCAUAUUAAGAAAUGAACUUUAAACAUAACUCAAUCUCGUAAAACUGACUUCAAAUAUGAGAUUUGCACAUACUUAUAUAUCAUUAAAUGUCCUAAUAUGUAAUCAACGAGGGAUCCCAACAAAAUUUGUAAUACUAAAUUUUGGAUUUUAGAAGUCUAAAUUCAUAAUCAAACAUAUCUUACAUUACUACUUGUUAAUAGAAUUUUUUCAAGUUUAAGAUGUUCGAAAAGCUCAUUUUUAAAAAAUUUAAUUACCUUAUUCUUAUUUGUCUCUACCUUUAUGGUCAAUAUUCAAUUUUGCAAAAUGUAGAAACGAAUAAGGUAAUUAAAUUUUUUAAAACUAUUAGAAAACCUUAUAAUCUGAGUAGACUUUUUAACAAAAACAACAUUAACAACUUAAAUGACAUUAUUUUUACAUUUAUCUUUUGAGAUUUCUUCUUAUAUUUAUAUUUAUCUUAGUGAAUUCGUGUUCAUGCAUUCUGUUCUUUGCCCAUUAAUUACAUUACCUUGGAUAUUAAUUGUUAUACACGGGCUAACUAAUUAUGUGAAUAAUUUCUAUAAUUUCUUAAUUAGUAAUUCAUAAAACAAGAUAAACUAGGUUUUUUAAAUAAUUUUUUUAUUAGUAAUAGAAAAUAAUAUAAAUGAAAAAUAAUAUUAGAAAAACUCCGAAAAAAAUCAUUGCAAAUACUUAUUUUUUUAAAAAAAUUUACCUAUUUUAAUAAAUUACAAAUUUUUUUAUUACAUCUCUUUCAUAAAUAUUGCAAAAACCUUAUCAUUGUGGGGGUCUAUGCUUUAUCAUUGAAAUUUUGCAACCCACCCUUAAAAGACAUUAAAUUGGAUAGCAACACAUUGAGAAUCAUGGAAUGAAUAUGCACAAGCAACUUUCUAAUAUCACCCACUUUCAUUUCAAUCAUUCUUCAAUAAUUUCAACUCAUAAACUUGUAUUACAAAAGUAAAUUGUAUAUAUUAACCUAAGCAUUUUAAAAAAUUGAAUUUUGCAUGGUUCUAUACUGGACGAGUCAGUUAUUCAAUUUUAGUUUUUGGUGACCAAUUCGAAUGUAUAAUAUAAUUAAGGCAUUUAAUAAAUAAUCAUGUUUUACCUAAUUCAAUUCGACUAUAUCAAAAUAUAUUUAAGACAUUUAAUAAAUAAUCAUGUUCCACUUAAUCUAAAUGACAUUUUUAAUAAAUUAGUUAAUAUAUCUCCUUAUAAAUGAUGGAUCACGCUAUAGAUCUUUGAUCCUAGAGUUUAUUUAAAAAAUUUCUUAUUUGAUAAAAUUAGGAAUCUCUUUUUCUAUUUUUACAAUUUGAUCAAAUUCUAUUCUAUCAUAGUUCUUUCUCUUGCAACCUUGUUCUUGGGUUUUGAGGUUUUUUCCUCAAUCAUAACAUCUUUUCAUCUAAGAUAAAAAAUUAUUUAUUAAUAAUAAAAAUUAUUUUAGAUAUUAAUAUUUUUUUAAAAUUAUAUUUAAUUUAAUUUAAUUAAAUUAAUAUAAUAAUUAUUUCUACAUAUAUUUCAAAAAAUAGUUUAUGUUAUAAUAAUUUUGUUGAAUGGUAUAUAUAUAAUUUUUUUUCUCCAAACUGUUUUUUUUUAUCUAUAUUUGUUUUGAUAAACUUAUCUAGUAAACCUUCUAAAAAAGAGAGAAAAAAUUAAAAAAAAAUCGUUUAUAUAAAUUAUUUAAUUUAUUUUUUUAAAAUUUGUAGCUAAAAUAAAUUUAAAUAAUUUUCACUUUUUUUUUCUUUUAUAAAAAAUUGUCAGAUCAUAGUUAAUUAUUUCUUGCAUGAAAAAUAAUAAAAUUGUAGAUGAUAGAUAGAGACCUGCAUAGACAGAUUCAUUAAUAUGUCGGGGGCUUCUUAUGUUUGUUUGUUUUUUAAAAUUUAAUUUCAAACUUGUUUUAAAUUAUUAUAAAAGCAAUAAGGAAUCGAAUCCAACUUUCCCAAACAUGAAUAGAAUCUAAAAAUAAUGGAUGAAGUUUUAAAGAAUUUACUUAUAUACACUAAAAUAAAAUAAUUAAUUCCUAUAUUGACCAAAUUAAAUAAUAUUUUAGAAACUAAAAAAUUAUUAGUAUCUAAAUAAAUUUUUUAUUAUCAAAUAAUUUUUAAAUUAUAUCUACUUAGAUACAAACAUUUUAGAUACCUUUAGAUACCAACUUAUAGAACUUAUAGAAUUUAAAUAAUUGAUAGCUAAUAUUUAGAUAAUUAAUACCAAUUUAAAAAAUAUUUAUCAAUAGUAAAUUUUAUUUUUAAUUUUUAAAAUAAUAUCUAAUUUAAUUAAUAUAGAAAUUAAUAAUUUUUUUUUUAUUUAAAAUUUCGCUUCUAAUUAUUGAUUUUCUAGUAGAGAUAUAUAUUAGUGUAUGCACCAAAAUUAAUAAUAUAAUUAAUUCAUAGUUUAUUUGACCAAAUUAUUAAAUAGCUUGAUUAUUAUAAAAGUAUUUGACACCUAAAAGUAUAUUAUUUUAAGAACUUUAAUUUAUAUAUAAGUUACUUUACAUAAUUUUUUACUCAAUUAUUUUUUUUGUUUUAUUACAUUUUAAUAUAUUAUUUAUUGUCUUUUUGGUUUCUUUUUAUAUAUUAUUAUUUAUUUUAAUAUUAUAUAAAUAAUUAAUAAUUAUACUAUUUUAAAUAUUGAUUGAGUUAUUUUUUAUUUUUUAUGUAGUUCAAAUUAAAAAUUUAAUAUUAUAAAUUGAAAUAACUAAUAGUUUAUUACAUGAUUUUAUAUAAAAGCUAAACAAUAGAAUUUGUAUAAAAGAAAUUUAAUAUAAGAGUAAUUUAAAUUGAGAAAUAAAAAAACUUUAAUUUUUAAAAAAUAAAUAAAAAAUACAUUUCAUUAGUAUUCAUUAAGUGAACUCCUUUAAAUAAAAUAAUUUGUUUAAAUAAGAAUAUAUACAUUUAAAAAAAAAAUAUUAAUUUUUUUAAUAAUAAAUUAAUUAUUUUAAUUUUUUUUUAAAUUAUAAUAAUAUUUUUGUAUAGAUAACAAAAUUUGUAUUUAAAUAAUGCAACUUAUACACGUAUUUUUUUUACAUCGUUUUAUAUGUAUUAACUAGUUUACUAUUUAAUAAAGACUUUUUAUUUAAAACACUUGUUUAUUAACUUAAUAUUCAUAUAUAUAUAUAUUUAAUAUAUUUAAUAUAUAUAUAUAUAUAUAUAUAUAUAUAUUUAAAACUUCUAUUAUUAUAAUUUAGAAUUAAAAAUCCACAUGCUUCAUCCUUUAAAAAAAAGGGAGAAAAUAAAAUAAAACAUUUUAAAAUACGUGGUCCCUUCAAAACGACACUGUUUCCUCUGCUAGAGAUCCACCUGAAAUCUGAGGUUCCUUCUGAUUGUUACCUCUUCUUCUCUCUCAAUAUCAAGCUCGAAACUUUUUCCAUUUUUGCUUUCUGGGUAGGUUCCAAAAUCUGUGUCAGAAAACUCUUUCACGAUUUUUUUUUCUUCUCUUUCGUAUUAUUCAUGUGUUUUUUCUAAUUACAUCAUGCAGCUAACUAGUUUUCCUUUUGCCUUCUUUUGGGAAAUUCUCAAAUUGCUUAAUUUUUUUAGAGGCGUUAAUUGUUAAAAGUCACAAGCAAUGGUGAAGGACACUGCCUACUAUGACGUGUUAGGUGUCAAUUUUGAUGCAUCUGCUGCAGAUAUUAAGAAGGCUUAUUAUGUCAAGGUAAUAAAUAAUGAAAUGAAUGUCCUUCACUUUCUCUGAUUUGUACAACCAGAAACUUAGAUUCGAGAAUGUUCUUGUAUUGUUACCUAAUCUGAUGGAAUGUUGAAUUUGAUUAUACUAUGUGUUUGUGCUAUGGAAUGACUAGGUGGUUAUAUAAAUAUGGCUUCGGUUUUUUUGUUGUUUAAAUUUGAAUAAACCAUCAAUUUCGUAUUUGAAGUAUCACCCCCUCAUCUAAAUGGUCCUUAAACUAAUGAAAUUAUAGAAGUUGUCUCCAUAGAGAGUAUUGAAUAUCCAUAGAGAGUAUUGAAUAUAUUUUACAGAAAUUGAGGAACUGGUUUGAAGAAUUUUUCAACACAUGAGGGACUAUGUAGCAUGAUUUGUAAUACUUUAGUGAUUACAUGUAUGCUUUCAUUAGUUUAAGGACAGUUUAGCAGAGAGGGUGACGCUUCAUGAACUAAAUUGAUGGUUUAAUUUUAAUUUUUUAUCCAUUCUAAGACUAGUGCUACACGCUUCAUAUAACUCGACUGCCUUUUCUUAAUUUUUUAUCCAUUUUCUGUUUUGAAAUGUGUGUGAAAGUUGGAGUUGAAUAAGCCUAUAGGUUGAAGCUGUUUAUUGAUCUUGUUCUGCCUUCAAUAGCUGUGAAUUUCAAAUGUGCUCACCAGACAACACUUAGUUGGUGACAGAAAAAAUAUAGGGUGGAUUUUGGGAGAGAGUAGAAGAAAUGAUGGCUUUCUUAUAGUUACUUUUACAUUAAAUAUUUAGAAAACUUCAUUCAUGCUUGUGUUUUACCUUUUUAUAUGUUUUCUGACUGAAUCUUAAACUUGACAGUUCCUCCUUUUUGUUAAUUUAAUAGCUGUUAAUCUCUCUCUUUUCCCUUUUCAGGCAAGAAUUGUUCACCCUGAUAAAAAUCCUGGGGAUCCUAAGGCUGCAGAAAAUUUUCAGGUAAGCACUAAGAACCCGUGUUUUGUUGGAUUCUCAAAACGAAGAUAUAUUUAAUAGAUGUCAUCAUUAACAAAGUUAUUACAUCCUUCUUAGUUCUUACUGUUAGACGUUUUACAGUAUAAAAUAUAGAAGUAUUUAUACAUUUUGAAUCUCUCCCUCUAUUCAGUUUGGUUUAUUUUCUCAAUAUACUUUUCUAAGUCUGCUAUCUUUGUAUAUUUACCAGAAACUUGGUGAGGCUUACCAGGUUUUAAGUGACCCCGGGAAGCGUGAAGCAUAUGAUAAACAUGGAAAGGAGGGAUUACCGCAGUAAGUCUAAAUUAUCUUCCAUUACUGAACAGUAAUUAGCUAAUAAUUGCUAGCAAUUAAUUAAUGCUCCAUCAAAUAGUGAAAUGUUGAUUUUGCAAUUCAAAGAUAACUCGUGAAGGUUAUUGUCAAAAAGAAGUUUCUGGUAUAAUGGUCUAAUCUCUCAUUGAAUUUUCCUUUUCUUGUUACUAUAUCCAGUUGUUGUCAGAUUUAAACCAGAACCAAACAUAUGUAACUGACUAUACUCUGCGUGUGUGUUGCUGAAUCUCUUUAAAUAUUAAUGUGAUUCAAGUCUAGACAAUGAUUUAGAGUUACUGUAAAAUGAAGUAAAAGAAACAACAAGCGAAAAAGAUAGAGAUACAAUAGGCACUUAAAGGGGCUUGCUUCCUCACUGCUGAAAACCACAUCAAUCUUUUUGCACCCCUUUUACCUCCCCUCCUUCUCCCUUGUACUCAGUUUAUCAGAAGUUCACUCUCCGAUAUUUACAGACCUACCAUUUGUGUCCUCUGAUAUCUCAUUCCCGCAUGAUCGAGCAUAGAAAGGUGCCUAACAUGGUGUUUGUUAUGUUACUAUUAGUAUUUGCCAUUGUUGACAACCUCAUAGGCUAUGUUUCUUUUUGUUGAAAGUUAGAAAGCAAGUCUAACCAAACAUAGUGAAACUCAUUGAAGAUAUUUUGUUGUAUUUGCUCAAAAUACCAUAUAGUCAAAUGUUACUGAGAAAGAUUUUGAAAAAAUCUUCUCAAUUAAUCGAGUGUUGUUUAUAGAAAAUCUAUAAUUUGAUCAAGUGUGCUAGUUCUGUGAGUAUUUUCCACUAUGUUGAGGUAUCAAAAUUAUAGAGGAGACCUAAUAUCGUUUUAUUUGAGGGAUGAGAGAAUGAAUUUCUCUGUUUUGUAUUGCACUAGAAUGACAAUUAUUUAAGAGUACAGUAUCUCCAUCUCACGAUUUCAAGACUGAAAUGUGAUACCAUAAAAUCCAGAUCGAUUCUAUAUUAUCUAAAAGGAAACACAAACAAUUCUAGCUAAUUUGCAAUAAUACAAAACAGUAAAAUAAAGUCCUAAAAUUAGUAUAUAACGUAACUCCCAAAAUUAGUAUUAAUCUAUACCAACCAAUUAAGGCUUGUUUAUUUAUGCGGAAUCCACUAAAAUAACUAUUUUAGAUGUUUCAAGAGGAAUCUAAUGUAACAGAAUGUUUUCAUGGAUUGAGAAACCUGCUAAAUACACUGAUAUUUUUUCAGAGAUUCAAUGAUGGACCCUACAGCUGUAUUUGGAAUGAUUUUCGGAAGUGAAGUUUUUGAAGAAUAUAUUGGACAACUUGCACUGGCUUCUUUAGCAUCUAUAGAGAUUGAUGAAGACAUACAGGAUCCUGAAGUUCAGAGGCAAAAAAUUCAAGAAAAGAUGAAGGUAUUUUUUUUGUUCUAGUUCUUUAUGAAGGUUUUCCCAAAUCCUUUGUACUGCUGUCCCUCAUAUUUUAGUAGCUGAAACUGUUUCCUUGUUGUAACCGUAGGCAUGGCAGAAGGAAAGGGAGCAGAAGCUUUCAGUAAUUCUGAAAGACCGGCUUCAAUUAUCUGUUGUUGGUCAAGAAGAAGAAUUCACUGCAUGGGCAAAGUCAGAAGCUCGUAGCCUCUCUAAAGCUGGUAAAUUCCUCUGUUUAUGAUGUAAUUUUAAUAAUGUAUUAUUCAACAAUAGUCCACAGCUCAAAAGUUUCAAUAACCGAAACAUUUUCAUUUUCAAGAGUGUCAAUUUAUUGUCUAUGCCACGUGCAUUCUACACUUCUCUUUCAAUUGGGACCUAUCUUUAGCACUAUUUGAGGUUGUAAUAUACAAGGGACUGAAAUAAAUUAUAAUGAUUUAUGGAUGUAAUAGAAGUUUUCAGUUUUAUUUCACAGAAAUUUGUUUUAGAGGUACAAAUAUUAAGUGUUUUUUUUCAGUUUUGAAAUAUAAUUUGCAUUCUUGAAAGAAAUUAAAACACAUAUUCAUUCUGCUGUAGUUUAGAAUCUUCAAGAAUGCUUCAACAUGCUAUAGAACUUACAUUAGUUUUUUAGCGAAAGGAGAUGUCCAAAUAAUGUCUAAUCUGUAAGCCUAUCAUGCUAGCAAAUCAGGUCUGUUGUUGUCCUGGAUUUCUGUUGUUGAAUUAUUAGGAUUCUUACUAUGCUACAAUGUUAUUAA
RNAcentral lists this long non-coding RNA (13238 nucleotides) under Phaseolus vulgaris (common bean). RNAcentral describes it as "long non-coding RNA (PVUL_LNC000466)". The record is from RNAcentral. Lineage: Eukaryota; Viridiplantae; Streptophyta; Magnoliopsida; Fabales; Fabaceae.